GCUUGACACUGAACAUUGAGCCUUGAUGUGUAGGAUAGGUGGGAGGCUUUGAAGCGUGGACGCCAGUCUGCGUGGAGCCAACCUUGAAAUACCACCCUUUAAUGUUUGAUGUUCUAACGUUGGCCCCUUACCGGGGUUGCGGACAGUGUCUGGUGGGUAGUUUGACUGGGGCGGUCUCCUCCCAAAGCGUAACGGAGGAGCACGAAGGUUAGCUAAUCCUGGUCGGACAUCAGGAGGUUAGUGCAAUGGCAUAAGCUAGCUUGACUGCGAGCGUGACGGCGCGAGCAGGUGCGAAAGCAGGUCAUAGUGAUCCUGUGGUUCUGAAUGGAAGGGCCAUCGCUCAACGGAUAAAAGGUACUCCGGGGAUAACAGGCUGAUAC
This 380-nucleotide ribosomal RNA is filed under the name Acinetobacter baumannii. RNAcentral describes it as "partial 23S ribosomal RNA". It matches the Rfam family "Bacterial large subunit ribosomal RNA", at positions 2109 to 2488 of the family's 2925-position model. Lineage: Bacteria; Pseudomonadati; Pseudomonadota; Gammaproteobacteria; Moraxellales; Moraxellaceae. The record is from RNAcentral.